GAAUAGUCGCCGGUUGAACGGGUAUCAUUGAUGUUGAUAAAUAUGAGGAAUGUCCUCACUAUUCU
RNAcentral lists this transfer RNA (65 nucleotides) under Doto coronata. Its description in RNAcentral is "tRNA-Ile". Lineage: Eukaryota; Metazoa; Mollusca; Gastropoda; Nudibranchia; Dotidae. The record is from RNAcentral.